This 1227-nucleotide ribosomal RNA is filed under the name Triticum aestivum (bread wheat). Its description in RNAcentral is "partial small subunit ribosomal RNA". Lineage: Eukaryota; Viridiplantae; Streptophyta; Magnoliopsida; Poales; Poaceae. The record is from RNAcentral.
AUGACUGGCACAUCCUCCGCCCUCACCACCAGCACCGUCGGCGCCCUCAUCAACAGCACCGCCGGCGCCCUCACUUCCGCCGCUGCCGGCUCUAUCGCUUCCGCCCCAACCAUCUCCAUGCCGUCGCUUGCUGGACUCAUCACUGUCCGGCUCACCCGCGCGAAUUUCCACUUAUGGAAAGCGCAGGUCGUCCCCAACCUCUCCGGUGCAGGUCUCUUCGGUUACCUCGACGGCUCCUUUCCCCGGCCGCCGCAGACAGUCAUCGAAGGCACUGGUGAUGCGGCACAUCAGGUGCCCAACCCGGCGUAUACAGUCUGGUGGAUGGCCGAUCAGGCUGUUCUUGGCGCCCUCCUGUCCUCCAUGACCGAGGAAGUCCUCGGUCAGAUGACGCGCGUGACCUCCUCGGCCGCCGCAUGGACUGCCCUCUGCGCCAUGUUCGCUGCGCAGAAUAGGGCUGCUGUUCAUCAGCUUCGGACGCAACUGAACCAGACCAAGAAAAAGGACAUGUCCGUGUCUGAGUACUUCCACAAGAUGACGGGCUACGCCGACGCCAUGGCUGCUGUCGGCGACCCCCUGACCGAUGAACAGAUCAUCGGCCACAUCCAGGGUGGCUUGGGUCAGGAGUACGACCCCCUGGUGGCUUCGCUCACCAUCUUCGACGGAGCAAUCAGCCUCACCAACUUCUACGCGCAUCUCCUCAGCUUCGAGGCCCGUCAGGAGCAGCACGCCGCAGCUGGUGGCGAUUUUUCGUCCUCCGUCAACAACGUCGUUCGCCAUGGAGGUGGCUCGUCUUCCCGUAAUGGCAACCGCAACGGAGGUGGAGCUUAUGGCAGCCGCAAUGGCGGCCAGCAGCAUGGCGGCCAGAACCAUGGCAGCCAGCAGCAUGGCGGCCAGAACGGCCAGCACCAUGGCGGUCGUGGCAACAAUGGAAACCGCAACGGCGGCAACCGUCGUCCUAAGUGCCAAAUCUGCCCUAUUUUUGGGCACUCCGCCCUUCAGUGUCGCCAACGCUACAACCACGCUUAUCAGGCGGAUGAGUACCAUGGCGGUAACAUGGCGACGCACGGCCACGUCGACAACCACUGGCUACUGGACACCGGUUCCACCGACCAUCUCACCAAUGACCUUGAUCGUCUAACGAUGCAUGAGCGCUACAGUGGGAAGGACCAAGUGCAUGUUGCAAACGGUGCAGGACAAACUCACGAGGAAGGUGCUUCUUCUCGGUAG